Molecule: ribosomal RNA, 404 nt
Filed under: uncultured Bradyrhizobiaceae bacterium
Lineage: Bacteria; Pseudomonadati; Pseudomonadota; Alphaproteobacteria; Hyphomicrobiales; Nitrobacteraceae
Description: bacterial SSU rRNA
Rfam family: Bacterial small subunit ribosomal RNA
Source: RNAcentral
UGGGGAAUAUUGGACAAUGGGCGAAAGCCUGAUCCAGCCAUGCCGCGUGAGUGAUGAAGGCCCUAGGGUUGUAAAGCUCUUUUGUGCGGGAAGAUAAUGACGGUACCGCAAGAAUAAGCCCCGGCUAACUUCGUGCCAGCAGCCGCGGUAAUACGAAGGGGGCUAGCGUUGCUCGGAAUCACUGGGCGUAAAGGGUGCGUAGGCGGGUCUUUAAGUCAGAGGUGAAAUCCUGGAGCUCAACUCCAGAACUGCCUUUGAUACUGAGGAUCUUGAGUUCGGGAGAGGUGAGUGGAACUGCGAGUGUAGAGGUGAAAUUCGUAGAUAUUCGCAAGAACACCAGUGGCGAAGGCGGCUCACUGGCCCGAUACUGACGCUGAGGCACGAAAGCGUGGGGAGCAAACAGG